Molecule: ribosomal RNA, 521 nt
Filed under: uncultured bacterium
Lineage: Bacteria
Description: partial 16S ribosomal RNA
Rfam family: Bacterial small subunit ribosomal RNA
Source: RNAcentral
ACUCAAAUGAAUUGACGGGGACCCGCACAAGCGGUGGAACAUGUGGUUUAAUUCGAUGCUACGCGAAGAACCUCACCAGGGCUUGACAUACAGGAAGUAGUGAACUGAAAGGGGAACAAACUGUUAAGUCAGUAGCCUGUACAGGUGCUGCAUGGCUGUCGUCAGCUCGUGUCGUGAGAUGUUGGGUUAAGUCCCGCAACGAGCGCAACCAUUGCCCUAUGUUGCUAUCAUGUUUUCAAUCGUAAGAUUGUGGCAUAAGCACUCUUAGGGGACUGCCUGGGAUAACCAGGAGGAAGGUGGAGAUGACGUCAAGUCAGUACGGCCCUUAUGCCCUGGGCUACACACGUGUUACAAUGGCUGGUACAAAGGGUUGCCAACCCGCGAGGGGGAGCUAAUCUCAAAAAACCAGUCUCAGUUCGGAUUGAAGUCUGCAAUUCGACUUCAUGAAGCCGGAAUCGCUAGUAAUGGAAGAUCAGCUCGCUUCCGUGAAUACGUUCCCGGGUCUUGUACACACCGCCCGU